UCUUGGUUGUUUUCCUUUGAAACCCAGGAAUUUUCUCAUUUUGUUAUGAGACUCUGAUUCUUAUUGAAACCUUCUGCUUGAGCUGGCUUUUUUUCCAACACUACUCCAGCGGGAAAAGGGGAUCACCACCUCAUUAUUGCCAAUGGAAACAGAAGUCCAGGUUCUUCACUCAUUAUCUGUUGAAAUGGGGACUCCUCAUUAUUGCUGGGUGGGAGUGAUGUUCUGGCACCACACACGGUCUCCACUGGCACUGUAGUCAGGAUGGCCUUGUGACCACUUGGCAACAGCGAGAAUCCCAACUUACCUCUAGGGUUCUUGUGUUGCCAUGCCAGCAGGGAGAGAGCAGGCAUGCCAGGAGAGCAGAAAUCGCCCUGGUGGACGAAACACCCAAGUGAAAGGAUAGGAGGCUUUAAGAGUACUAGGAGCAGUGUGGCUCCAGGAGAGGACACCCGCUGCUCACUGGCUGUCAGCGGCCUAUUCUCGGGAACAUUUUACUGACGCUUAGAGAAAUUAAACACGAAGGUGGACUUUUGCUAUGCUUCUGUCUUUCUGCACCACCAGCAUGGAAACAGAUUUUGACGGGCCCGGGAACCCCGUUGCGAAUGGGGGCCCUGAGCCCCAAGCCUCCUGGGGGAGCCACAGCCGCAGACUUGUGACUAUCCUCCAGGGGUCACACUUGGGUUACAAAUCCCUUGCAGCGCACUGACUGAGCAGCCUGAUUGGGAACAAUUUAUUCGAAUCCUUCUUCAUUAAGAUUCAAAUGGAAUAAGUAAGGUAGAAAUUGAACAGACACAGAAAUUGUGCCUUCCUGCUCCCGUAGUCAGUAAACAUUUAUUCGCUAA
Molecule: long non-coding RNA, 842 nt
Organism: Acinonyx jubatus (cheetah)
Lineage: Eukaryota; Metazoa; Chordata; Mammalia; Carnivora; Felidae
Exons: 2
Source: RefSeq, a predicted model, not a curated record